Xyrichtys novacula (pearly razorfish) is the source of this 7811-nucleotide non-coding RNA. NCBI's taxonomy places the organism in Eukaryota, Metazoa, Chordata, Actinopteri, Labriformes, Labridae. The record is from the annotation of a GenBank genome assembly.
CAAACAAGCAGCUGCUGGAGGAGAGUGGGUGAGUUAUGUUUGGUCUUUUUGCCAAAAGAACCAGGCAAAGCUAAAAAGAUGUUUGAUUGUUAGUACUACGUGUUUAGGGUGACCAUAUGUCCUCUUUUACCUGGACAUGUCCUCUUUUGGGGGGACUGUCUAGGCUUUUCUUAGAGUUAGAAGUGCGUGAAAGACCCUUGAUCCGAACCGAAAAACUCUCAAGAUUAACUUUGUGCAACUCUGUGACUCCGCCCCCGUGUUGUUGCAUCCUCUUUUUGGGAAGUCAGAAUAUGGUCACCCUAUACGUGCUGGGACCCUAUAUGUACUGCUGAUGAAGUAAGGUGCUGUUCUGAGCAUUAUUUGUGGCUAUGAGUGGCUUUUUGGUUGAGGUUUGCACAUGGAGACAUAGACAUAGACAUAUUGCUAUCAUGUGGUCUUUGCCAAAGUUGGUGGAACGAAAGAAGCAAGCGGUCAGCGAAAUUCAUCUCUCGAGGGGGUGUCUAACUCAGUGUUACAGGAUGUUUGACCAUGGCUUAAACUUACGCCGGAAUUUCCCUUUAACUAGCUGACAAUGGAAGAGAUGGUCGAAUGGACCAAUCCUCAUCAGGUUGAGAGUGCAGUGUGUAAUCACAUGACUAUUUAUUUUAAUUAUUUUAAUUAUUGGAACAAUUCAGUGGAGGCUUCAUCUUUUGGGGUCAUGUCCUUUCUGUCCUGAGCCACGUCUGAGGUCCUUGCUUGAUACUGCUUGUCAAGUAUCGCCUCAAAAUUUGUGAGUUGCUUGAACCGUUUCAUACACAAACUUCACAUCACUCGUGUCUCUGCUGUCUCACUGUGACUCAGUUAAAUAUCCCAUUUGAGGCCAAUUUUUCAGCCGUUUUCCUCUAUAAUUUUGAAAAAUACUGUAUUGUAAUCAUUUUGAUUUACUGUAUGUUAUUUCAAAGCACAGACAGGAAGCUUGGUGUGGGAGUCUUGGGGUGCGGGGGACAGAGGGAAGAGCGCGACCCCACUGUUUGUGUUGGUAUGGCCACAGGGACCCAAUGAAAACAGAGCUGUCAGUAGCACUUCUAACUGCUGGGCUCUGUGUCAGCCCACAGACCAAAUAAACAGCAAUCAGCGCUGUACUAACCACUGUGACAGAACACACACACUCACACACACACAGACACACACACCAAAGCAAGAGCUUUAAGACCGGAGUCGAAUCACAGCAGAAGAGCAUGCAUACAGCACACACCCCUAUUCACACAUGCAUGCAUGCACACAAAUGCAUACACACGUCACUCACAAGUCCAAAAGCAAACAAGCCGGGAAGUCUGACUAAUUAAUGUUUUCAAUCCGGCCUCUGAGUGAUGUCAUGACAACACGUAAGUCAUACUCUCAGCUCGGUGAGCGCGUGACUUCCCACAAUCCUGAAAUGGACGUGUGUGGGCACACAGCAGCCGCAUGCAACCAGAACACCAAACACCUUCUUAAGCAUCAUUGACUGUUUUAUAUUGACAUCUUUUAUUACACAUUACAGUUGUCAUGUGUUUCAAUGAAGCAAGCCUGACCGUUCUUUGGAAGUUAAAGCUCCUGAGAGGAUGUUUCAAUUUGUGUCAAUUUUGGCGCCCCCCGUGGAUAAGCUUAUUAUUUCUUUUUUGUCCUCUACUUAUAUACUAAUAAGUUGUUGUUACACCAAACCUCAUAGGGCUGAAUUUUGACAGUCAAUGCAUCAUUCGUCAUGAAUAUUCUGGGCUGAACUCUUGCACUGAUUUCAGGCACCAAAAUUAAAAAUAUGAAAAUUUUAAAUCUUGUGACUGAUGGUCUUGUUUGUGUUUGUAUAUCAUAUAAAGGUAUCAAUAUGAAUUUUUAGUCUGUUUCAUAAACAUCAAAAACUCCUCAAAAAGAACUUGAAAGGACGAAAAAACAGUAUGACACACACAUAUAGGAAGGAAAUAUGCUAUAUGUUCACUUUACUACCAAUGAGAGCCAAUCUCGUCAAGUGCAAGCAAGUCAAAGCUAUGAGAGGAUGUCUUGUCAUUAUGUGAUUAAAAACUCCUCAUUAAAAUAUCAAGAGUUUGAAAUUUAAAGAUCAUUUUGAAUCUUUACCUAAUAAUUAUUAGUUUUUAUCACAUAGUUUUAGUUUUGCAUCUCACAAUUAUACUUAAUCUCAUAAUAAACAAUGAGAAUAUAAUUACUGUCUUCAUAUCAUGGAGAUUAUUUUUACUAUACAGGCAGACUUAUCGUCUUAAUUGUUUCUUUUAAUUCCCAAAACAGGCUUUUUUUUAUCAAUGCUGAUCAGCUAAUGCAAAUGUUGAAUUUGUCUGAAUUUGCUCUUAUAGAGUUUUAUUAAAAUGAAAAAUGUCUCUUUAUCUUGUCAUGGAAUAAAUCGAUCACUCCAAUGACCUGAAGAGAGACAGUUGUUGUCAAAAGACUGUCAUGUUUUCCAAGACUGUGUUUAUAAAAAGCUAUGCUGACUCAGCUCAUUUAAUCCCUGCAUACUGAAUUGUGUAGUAAGUAUGUAGUGAACUCCAUCAUUUUGUGGUGACGAUCUGUUUUAAAACAGGGCAGCGUUCAGAUCUUUUGAAUUAUUCUGUUUUAUACGACACUUCACCCUGACAUAACCAUCCUUCACGUCUUAUUACAGAAGACAUUAGUACUUAUAGACAUUCAUGGCAAUGCUUCAAAGGAAUUCCUCACUCCGACUGGAUUCAUAAAUAAAAAGAUAAAUGUCCUCGCGUUCUUAUUUUAGCAAAACCUCAAGAAUUUCUGAGCCGGGUGUGCCGCAUUUCAAUGUCAGCCCCCAUGUACAGCAGAGGGAUCAGACAUCACAAGUCCCAACUAAUAGAUCCGAUUGUUGCCAAAAGCCUUUGAGAGGGAGCAGACAGACAGAAAAAAGCUCCCAAGAUCCCUCUGUGAUUGAAUAAGCAUAAGGGGGGGAUUGGUUUUUGUAGCUGCCAUAACGAGCCUGCAGAUAUGACUGAAGUGGUCACAUCUAAAUAGGCGGGGUAGACAGACAGACAGAGGAGGUUUGACCGAGAGCACUAAGAAGAAUAGCAGAUGCUGCAGAUGAAAGAGCAGCAAGGCCCUCACUGGAGGGGUCUGUGGUACAGAUACCGACACAUGCACACAGCAAACAAAGAAAACAAAGUCUGCUAAUGUUCCACUGUGCUCUUUAAGAAGAUCUUGUUCUUUCCGGGAUGUUAUUCCCUGUCUAUCCACUGUCCUAUCCUCUCAAAUAAAGCAGGAAAUGCCCCAAAAUAAGUACAAAAAAGUGAAGAAAUGAGCUAAUAAGGCCACAUUACAACCCAAUAAAAAUAAUAAUAAUAAUAAAAAAAAAAAAUACUUAGAUUAUCCUCAGUUUGUCCAAUGGUAACAAAACCCCUUUUUAAUUAUUGUUACAAGAAGUUCAUCAUGUAUUACCUCCAGAAAAUCCACAAUUUUAAAUUAUUUAUUUUGUUAAACUUUUUAACUCUAUAUUGUUGGUUAUGUUAUUUAAUGGUAGAGCAUCAUGUCGGGUUUCUCCAUCAAGCGUUUAUCGUUUCAACAGAGAACAAGUAUAUUUUGUUUAUCUGAAAUGAUUUUCAUCAAAAUCCAUCUGUUUCUUGAUUGAGGAACAGGGAGUAACAACUUUCUUAACUCACACAAAUUUCUCGAGUGGUCAGAGGCAGGUGUAGAUUUUGUUAGCAUCGACAAACAAAUUGGAAAUACGGAAAUAUUGAUGCUAGUUUGCCUGUAAAUCAGUUUGGCUCAUAUUUCAUGAAGGAGACCCUCUAGUUUUUCCCCUUCUGUUAACCUGGGGAAGCAGCAUUUGUGACACAUACUGCAACCAGUCAGCAGGGGGAGCUCUAACUCUCAUGGCCUCAAGUCAGAUGGAGACCAGGGAUAUCCACCGCAUCUGGAACGGCUCCGAUCCGGAACGGCAGUGAUUUUUGCCGUACGCCAAUUCUUACCAGAUCCAUUUGUGAGGCGUAUUUUGCGGCAGUGAUCGUGAGAACUCACAAGAACCCGCAGAUUCACUUGCAAUCGUGCAAUAACAAGUUGUCUUUAUCCACAUAGGCUAACCAUAUACACAGUAGAUUGUGUCCUUCCAGAGGAGGAAAUCUACUUCUAAACUUAUAAAAUCAGCAUCCUCGCAUUCAUGGUGUCAACAGGGUAAAAUGCUGUCUAUGAACCUUUCACUUGUUCGUCCCUGCCCGUUUGCAUGGUGUGAAAUACAAUCCACCUGAAACACGGAGUGUUUUAUUUUGAAAAGAAGCUGGAUGUUUUAUUUUGUGUCUGUGCCCGACUUCCUUUCCAACACAGGUAAAUCUGUGCUCAAUUUAUCUGGCAUGCUGGGGCGUCCGGAAAAAUUAGAACUCUUGCGAUCAGCAGGGGAAUGGAAAAAGCUUGACGCAUUCACUUGAAUGGUUAUGAUCAGCUAUGAUAGGUGGAUACGACCUUUUUGUAGCUGUUCUGGAUGUGGUGGAAAUUGGGAGUUAUGGUGUCCUUUUGUAGAGAGUCUAACUAUAAGAGAAUUUAGAUAACUAUGUCUUUUAAUACAAACAGCUCCAUGUAGCUGUGAGAAAUAGUUUGUUCUGUCUUUCUUUCCAUCUCAGGGAAAAGUACAUUCAUCUAGAUUUGAGUCUUUCCCUUCACUGUCUCCCAUCAGUCUUGUUUGAGACAGGCAGGCAGACAGGGCACCCUGGUCAUGGCACGACAAGAACAACCACCGGGAUCAACCAUUUCCGCUGGUGUGUCUCCUCUCCUGUAGUGGUUGCUCCCUCCUACACACACAUACACACACACACAACCACCACACAUAAAAAAUAAACACACACCACAACUGGUCCCCCUCUGGAGAGAUCAAUUUCACGGGAUCACACGGCGAGCUCUGGUUCCCAGGCGCUCCUCACGCGCUCUGCAGACGUAGACGGUUCCCUCGCACAACCUGACUCCUGACCCUCCAUCAUUACCGGGGUCAGAGGAGCAGCAACCCCUCGCUGAAGGAGGUGGGGGGGAGCUUCUUUAUCCCAAGGCUGCAAAAGAUACCGACGGGAGGUUCAUUUUUUUCCCUCUCUUUCUUUUUUUUCUUGAGGCCAAAUGUCAAACGUUAAAACAUGUUUCAACUGUUCAGCCUUGUUAUCAAAUUAGUGGGUGAAGAUGUCUGAUUAUAUGUUUUUGAACCUCAGGAGUGUGUGUGUCUUGUGUAUGUUUGACAAAUGCGUGAAACUAAUGUUGUUUUUCGCCUCAAAAUUCGACAUACCUUCAUGUCAAGCUUAGAGGUCACACUGCCGCCGAAUCAAAGGAUUAAACCCAGAGCGGUGUGAACACAAACUGUGAAUUUCUUACGCUGUUCCUGAACUUCUGUCACGUACCAGCUGGUUCUCUUCACUUGAAUCUCAGCUGCCACUCUCACUAUGAUUAAUUUUUUUGUAACAUAAAACGUCAAAACAGAGCAAAUUUCAGUUUUCAGGGUUACGGGGCUAACUCGAAAGCGUGACUGGGUCAAAUGCACGGCAAAUAAUCACCUCAAGCUGAGAUGAAAGUAAAAUUUCUGCCUUUGUUCUCUGACUUUCUCUCACUCUGUCCUCACUGUGACCACCCACAAGGAGUUUCACCGGCUUUAAACAUGAGUCACACCCAGACCCCUCAAAACCGGCCAUUCUGCUUCCCACUUUACCCCCGCAUAAGAAUCAGACAGUGCCGACUUUUUGUAAAUAAUCGGCUGCAGGUACAUCAGUCUUUUUCAUGUUUUUUUUAUGCAACAACUGGGAGUCGAAUGCCAAGUUCUGCCCCCCCGUCCACCUGUUGAAUCCAGAUCUCACAUGUACAGACUGAGGAUUAGAGGACCAUUAAGAAGAUCAGAGAAUUUCAGAUGAUGGGGGUGUGUUCGGGCCCUCGGAGUUUCCUGUAACUAAAAGAAAAAUUGCAGACAUGAUCCCUCAAACAUAUGUCCGUCAAGUCUGCUGUCUGGGAAAUACUACAGGUGCCUCAUUGAGCUCUCCACUAAGAUUAAGAACAGAUUUAUGACCGAACCAUGUCAGAUAGCAGUUGAGCUAAUGCUGCAUAAAUACCUUACUCUACUUUUAACUGAUUCUCUUUUUUCUGCUAUUUUGAUGAUAAAAAAACACCCUACUUAUGGACUGUAUUUGUCGCACGUAGUUACCACAGCCAAAGCCCAACACAGCACAUAAAUAAACACUGUGGUUUCUCAUGACAUGAUGCAACAAAUGAUGCUCAGAGGACUGAAUGUGUAUUGAAAUAGUCCCACAGAUACGAUUAACAUUGAAAAUUUUGGUCCUUUCAGCAGUAAUAUAUAUUUACCUUACUUUUAUUGUCGAUUUUAAGUGGAAUAAGUCCUUAUUUUUCACAUUUUCUACUAGAUAUAAAGCUAUUCAAACAGAUUCGUUUCAGUUUUUUGUGAUUUCUUUGUUUUGUUACACAGAAGUUAAAGCUCCUGUUAGGAACUUUUGGUUUGUGUCAAUGUUGAUUCCUCUUUUGUACAAAGCAGUCUCUGUUAAUCGUGUUCUUUACAUGCUCUCAUCCUGUUGCGAUUAAAAAUAGAUGUGUGCGAAUUGUAAAAUGUAUUUAGGGGCACGUGUGCAUGAAAAAAAUCAACUUAUGCAACAAAUGGUUUUUCAUGUGAAUACCGCUGUGAAGUUAGUUUUAGGUCGGAUAUCUGACGGACAUUAACUGCGGAUCUACCGGUUUCUUAGCAACAGCAGCGCGGUUAAAUCUACUCUGCACCCUUGUUGUCGACGUCAAGUGUUGAAUAAGGGACCGUCAAUAAAUUACUGGUUGAUGUUCUCAAAAAUGGCUGUUUUCCUUCAAUAGCUUCCAUGUCAUGUGACCAAUUGACCUAAAAUUGAUUUCAAAUGAUAGAACUUAUGUCGACCAAUAAGGCACACAUUAGUUGAUCAGUUUUCAUUGUGCCUGUAAAAGAGCACACGUGGUCCUAAGUUGAAAAAAGUUAGUGUCAAGCCCUUAAUAGUCAAAUGUUUAUUAGGAAAUUGUAAAAACAGGGCUGUUUAACUGACACCUACCCCCUUACAUUGGUUUCAAGCAUCAACUUUGGCUGUAUGCAAAUCAUCAGUCUCGUCACUGAUGGUCUUAUUGAGAAGGCAUCACUAUGAAUUCCACUCUGUAUGAUAAAGGUAAAAAAGUAAACUCACAGGAGCUUUAAAUUUAGAUAUUUUUGAGCCUUUUUUAAAUACUUUUCUUCACACAAACAGUGAUACAGAUAUUUUAGCAGAAACACAGCGCGACCAAAAGAUGUAGAAAUAUGAUCCAGAUCCAUUCAUUAAAAAAUAACUGCAUGUUUUGAGGGAUGAUGAACAGCAAACAAAAGCAUUUAUAAACAAAUAAACUAAAAAUAAGAUCACAAAAAUGAGACAAACCCCCUGUUGUUUUCAGAGUAAUUUAUUUAUUUAAACAAAGGUAAAAGUUUGCUAAUAGAAAAGAUUAAAAGAAGAUGUCUGUUAAAAAAAAAAGGAAACACUUGUCCUGUAUCGUCCACACUCAGUUUCUCCCACUCCCUCUGUUUCAGUGUGUGACAGAGAGUGAAGGAGGAGGCCUCAAACACUUCUUAUGGAGGGGACGAGCCGGAGAUAAGUGUCAGUGGGUCAACUCUGACACUUCCCUCACACGCUGAGAAAUGUGUUAAGUGUCGACCCAAGUGAAGGAGAGGACCCCGCCAACAAAACUCACAAGGGAACCGUCAGCGAUUGACAAUGGCUAACAAUGAAACCAGGUUCAAACCUCCGCCCUCCUGAAGGACAAUACUCACCCCUGCCUCACAAACCGCUCACCCCUAAGACAUACAUUCAUAAACAAUGCCUCUCUCUCUUUUG